GGRACAWCUCCGGGAAACUGGAGCCAAUACCGUUAAAWAGGUGASGSMWWAGYCGCAAGUCGCCUGUGGAGGAACCUGCGUUCGAUUAGCUAGUUGGUGGGGWAAAGGCCUACCAAGGCGAUGAUCGAUAGCUGGUUUGAGAGGAUGAUCAGCCACACUGGGACUGAGACACGGCCCAGACUCCUACGGGAGGSAGCAGUGGGGAAUAUUGGACAAUGGGCGAAAGCC
This 228-nucleotide ribosomal RNA is filed under the name Gluconobacter sp. RNAcentral describes it as "partial 16S ribosomal RNA". It matches the Rfam family "Bacterial small subunit ribosomal RNA", at positions 140 to 383 of the family's 1533-position model. The record is from RNAcentral. Lineage: Bacteria; Pseudomonadati; Pseudomonadota; Alphaproteobacteria; Acetobacterales; Acetobacteraceae.